This 484-nucleotide ribosomal RNA is filed under the name uncultured bacterium. Its description in RNAcentral is "partial 16S ribosomal RNA". It matches the Rfam family "Bacterial small subunit ribosomal RNA", at positions 30 to 507 of the family's 1533-position model. The record is from RNAcentral.
AUUGAACGCUGGCGGCAGGCCUAACACAUGCAAGUCGAGCGGAUGAAGGGAGCUUGCUCCUGGUUUCAGCGGCGGACUGGUGAGUAAUGCCUAGGAAUCUGCCUGGUAGUGGGGGAUAACGUCCGGAAACGGGCGCUAAUACCGCAUACGUCCUGAUGGAGAAAGUGGGGGAGCUUCGGACCUUACGCUAUCGGAUGAGUCUAGGUCGGAUUAUCUAGGUGGUGGGGUAAAGGCCUACCCAGGCGACGAUCCGGAACUGGUCUGAGAGGAUGAUCAGUCAAACUGGAACUGAGACACGGUCCAGACUCCUAAGGGAGGCACCAGUCGGGAAUAUUGGACACUGGGCGAAAGCCUGAUCCAGCCAUGCCGAGUGUGUGAAGAAGGUCUUCGGAUUUUAAAGCACUUUAAGUUGGGAGGAAGGGCAGUAAGUUAAUACCUUGCUGUUUUGACGUUACCAACAGAAUAAGCACCGGCUAACUUCGUG